Molecule: ribosomal RNA, 896 nt
Filed under: uncultured bacterium
Lineage: Bacteria
Description: bacterial SSU rRNA
Rfam family: Bacterial small subunit ribosomal RNA
Source: RNAcentral
AGAGUUUGAUUAUGGCUCAGAACGAACGCUGGCGGCAGGCUUAACACAUGCAAGUCGAGCGCCGUAGCAAUACGGAGCGGCAGACGGGUGAGUAACGCGUGGGAACAUACCCUUUGGUUCGGAAUAAUUCAGGGAAACUUGGACUAAUACCGGAUAAGUGCAGGAUCUAACGGUUUUGCAGAAAGAUUUAUCGCCGAAGGAUUGGCCCGCGUUCGAUUAGCUAGUUGGUGUGGUAACGGCGCACCAAGGCGACGAUCGAUAGCUGGUCUGAGAGGAUGAUCAGCCACAUUGGGACUGAGACACGGCCCAAACUCCUACGGGAGGCAGCAGUGGGGAAUAUUGGACAAUGGGCGCAAGCCUGAUCCAGCCAUGCCGCGUGAGUGAUGACGGCCUUAGGGUUGUAAAGCUCUUUCGCUAGGGACGAUAAUGACGGUACCUAGACAAGAAGCCCCGGCUAACUUCGUGCCAGCAGCCGCGGUAAUACGAAGGGGGCUAGCGUUGUUCGGAAUUACUGGGCGUAAAGCGCGUGUAGGCGGGCUUUUAAGCCAGGGGUGAAAUGCCAAGGCUCAACCUUGGAACUGCCUUUGAUACUGGAAGCCUCGAGUCCGGGAGAGGUGAGUGGAACUGCGAGUGUAGAGGUGAAAUUCGUAGAUAUUCGCAAGAACACCAGUGGCGAAGCGGCUCACUGGCCCGGAACUGACGCUGAGACGCGAAAGCGUGGGGAGCAAACAGGAUUAGAUACCCUGGUAGUCCACGCUGUAAACGAUGGAUGCUAGCCGUUGGGGAGCUUGCUCUUCAGUGGCGCAGCUAACGCUUUAAGCAUCCCGCCUGGGGAGUACGGUCGCAAGAUUAAAACUCAAAGGAAUUGACGGGGCCCGCACAAGCGGUGGAGCAUG